CCCGCUGAACUUAAGCAUAUCAAUAAGCGGAGGAAAAGAAACCAACAGGGAUUGCCUCAGUAACGGCGAGUGAAGCGGCAACAGCUCAAAUUUGAAAUCUGGCUCUUUAGGGUCCGAGUUGUAAUUUGUAGAAGAUGCUUCGGGUGUGGCUCUGGUCUAAGUUCCUUGGAACAGGACGUCAUAGAGGGUGAGAAUCCCGUAUGUGACUGGAUGCCUAUGCUCAUGUGAAGCUCUUUCGACGAGUCGAGUUGUUUGGGAAUGCAGCUCUAAAUGGGUGGUAAAUUUCAUCUAAAGCUAAAUAUUGGCCAGAGACCGAUAGCGCACAAGUAGAGUGAUCGAAAGAUGAAAAGCACUUUGGAAAGAGAGUUAAACAGUACGUGAAAUUGUUGAAAGGGAAGCGCUUGCAACCAGACCUGCCUGCAGUUGUUCAUCCGGGCUUCUGCCCGGUGCACUCUUCUGCUGUCAGGCCAGCAUCAGUUCGGGCGGUCGGAUAAAGGCUUUGGGAAUGUAGCUCCUCUCGGGGAGUGUUAUAGCCCGUUGCGAAAUGCGGCCAGCCUGGACUGAGGUCCGCGCUUCGGCUAGGAUGCUGGCGUAAUGGUUGUAAGCGGCCCGUCUUGAAACACGG
This 625-nucleotide ribosomal RNA is filed under the name uncultured fungus. RNAcentral's name for it is "eukaryotic LSU rRNA". It matches the Rfam family "Eukaryotic large subunit ribosomal RNA", at positions 24 to 664 of the family's 3401-position model. Lineage: Eukaryota; Fungi. The record is from RNAcentral.